GGGUGUAGUUUAGUGGCAAAACAACGGUCUCCAAAACCGUUGAUGGGGGUUCGAUUCCCUCCACCC
Molecule: transfer RNA, 66 nt
Filed under: bovine gut metagenome
Rfam family: tRNA
About the family: Transfer RNA (tRNA) molecules are approximately 80 nucleotides in length. Their secondary structure includes four short double-helical elements and three loops (D, anti-codon, and T loops). Further hydrogen bonds mediate the characteristic L-shaped molecular structure. tRNAs have two regions of fundamental functional importance: the anti-codon, which is responsible for specific mRNA codon recognition, and the 3' end, to which the tRNAs corresponding amino acid is attached (by aminoacyl-tRNA synthetases). tRNAs cope with the degeneracy of the genetic code in two manners: having more than one tRNA (with a specific anti-codon) for a particular amino acid; and 'wobble' base-pairing, i.e. permitting non-standard base-pairing at the 3rd anti-codon position.
Source: RNAcentral